AUGGAUUUUACUAUUGCAGUCCCUACGCUAGCUUUGCUCUGCGCUGUGUUCCAACCAGCAGCAUCUUCAGGUCUGCAGACCCCCAAACUUACGAUCCAGCCCAACCACCCUGAGUAUUUUGAAGGGGAGAGGAUUGAGCUCAUUUGCUCAGCUUCCCAAAACAGGACGGUGGAAGGAUACAGGUUCUUCGAUCCAGAUGAGCGGAUGAUCCACAAAAUGGCCGCCAGCCCUUAUCAAAAGGGGAAGCUGCCUCUCACGCUUCAGAUGAACAGCACUGGGAAUUAUUUCUGUGAUUACUGGAUGGAAGAAAGUGGAGAAGCCACGUCAGGACCAAGCAACGCCACUUUCAUCCGUGUAAAUGAGGCCCCUGCUGCUCCCUCUCUCUCUGUGCAUCCCGAACUCCCUGCAUACAACUUGGGAGACUCCAUCACCCUUUCAUGUUCAGCCCCACUGGGAGCAAAGGAAGUCAAGCAAUUCCAAUAUUACAGUGACUUGAUGUGUGUAUCAGCCAUGGCACUGCAUGACAAUGUCUAUAGGUACAACUUGAGUAUCAUGGAGUCCACGGACAUGGGGGUCUUCAGAUGCGCCUAUCUGGUGCACCUUUCUGGGCGAAACGUACUUUCCAAGAAGAGUGAACCAGUCUCCAUUGAAGGGCUAGGAGUCAGAUGGAAAUGGAUGUUGGCUGUUGGGGGGUCCUUCUUCACCAUCAACACCCUUAUCUUCCUAAUCUCCCACUGCUUUUUUUAAACCACAGACCACUGCAACCUCCUCCAUUUCGAAGGGUUCCAGUCAGUGAAGGAGCCCUCUCUACUAGACUUGAAUCCCCAGUGUCUUCAGCAGAAAAAAAAAACUCAUACACGUUGCCUGAAAAAAGACAGGCACAUACUUGGAAAUAAGGCAGCUUGGACAUCUAAGAAAUGCAUAAGCUUCAGAGAAGAGCUUGGGGAAAAAUACUUUUGUAGACCACAGCUCCCACCCACCGUGGUGUCAAUUCUCCUUUCGCUUGUUGGAGGGUCUACCCAGGCCAUCAAUUCUUCCAGAGUUCACUAUGGCAGGUGGCCACCAAACAGAGGCAUGGAAAGCGACCACGAGGAACCACGUCUUUUCGAUGGUAGCCACGACACUUUGAAACAUGUCGAUACACACAGACUCCUUCCCUCUUGAUCUUCGGGAAGCAUGUUAAAGCCAAGCAUUUCCAGGAGGCCUUUGAGAACAUGCUCCUCUUAUGACAGACCACCUGGGGAUUUUUCUGUUAAUAUUAUGUUGUUUUUAGGCAUCGUGGAUAGCUGGAGGUUUUCGUCCGCUGUAAACUGACCAGAAUGAUGGCUUGCCACUAGAUGGGUGACAUAUUUACUUAUAACAGAGAAAGAAGCAAAGAAUUCAGGCAGCACUAUGGAGUACAAAAUGGUUCUAACCUGGUUCUUAACAUAUGAAGCAGUCAAGGAGCUGAGCCUGGAAAAAUCUGUUGUGGUUGUUCCCACAUGUGAAUUUGGGGUGGGGGUGGGGGACUGUAAUGUUCUUUCCAUCCUAUGUAUGAAGAAAUCUGAGAACUUUACUUAUUUUUUAAAAACUGGAAUAGAAUUCUCACGCUUUCCCUAAAUUUCAUCUUGUCGAUAUUUCUCCUUCUUUCCAAAUUUUCUAUAGCCACCCCAUCGGAUCGCUCAGUGGACCAUCCAAAAUGACCCCAAUUUUGACAAAAAGGCUGCAUCUUGGUUUCUCACAGGUCCCUAUUUUUUAUUUUUUUAUUUUUAUUUUAUUUUUUGCUGCUGCUGUUGUUAGAGUUGCUUUUAGAUCUCUUCUUCGGAUGACCAAUACCUCUUUGGUAUUCACUUUGCCAGCUUAUUUCCGGUGAGACAAGAACCGCUUGAAAGAAUUCAUGGAAAAACCUGCACAGAUAUUGCCUUUACCAAUAAACUACCCAACAAGAAUAGAAAAUAAAUUAUU
Pogona vitticeps (central bearded dragon) is the source of this 1944-nucleotide long non-coding RNA. Ensembl lists it as uncharacterized. NCBI's taxonomy places the organism in Eukaryota, Metazoa, Chordata, Lepidosauria, Squamata, Agamidae. The record is from Ensembl.